Molecule: ribosomal RNA, 254 nt
Filed under: uncultured bacterium
Lineage: Bacteria
Description: partial 16S ribosomal RNA
Rfam family: Bacterial small subunit ribosomal RNA
Source: RNAcentral
UACGUAGGGGGCGAGCGUUGUCCGGAUUUAUUGGGCGUAAAGAGCUCGUAGGCGGUUUGGCAAGUCGGGUGUGAAAACUCCGGGCUCAACUCGGAGACGCCACUCGAUACUGCCAUGACUUGAGUCCGGUAGGGGAGUGCGGAAUUCCUGGUGUAGCGGUGAAAUGCGCAGAUAUCAGGAGGAACACCGGUGGCGAAGGCGGCACUCUGGGCCGACACUGACACUGAGAGACGAAAGCUAGGGGAGCGAAUGGG